Molecule: long non-coding RNA, 407 nt
Organism: Culex quinquefasciatus (southern house mosquito)
Lineage: Eukaryota; Metazoa; Arthropoda; Insecta; Diptera; Culicidae
Exons: 2
Source: RefSeq, a predicted model, not a curated record
AUAGAUUUUUUUAUAUCCAUAUAUCUUUUUAAAAAUAAUGUUUGCCUAGGUUCCGGUUAACGUGUAGACGUCAGCUGUAAGAGAGUAUGAAAUGUUUCAAUGCCUGACACAGCAAAAGAGAAGAGCAAAAUUUAACCAAUGAGCUCUCUCUCCCGAAUCUGGCGGAUACGACUCCCAGCAUGACAUACCAAAACAACUCAUAAAACAGCAUAAAAUAUGUUUUUGUUUUGGUUGAUAGGAUCCCGGACAGAUCAUUGUUGUGGACUGUCUGAGUUUUUAAAGAAAAGUGUCGGAGGGCGAAGGAUUGCGGCAACAAAAAAAUACGCACUGCUUUACGGUACCUGGUCCCCCGACAACGACCAACCAAGCGGCGGCGGACGUGGUACGGAGGACGCUUCUAGAAACCU